RNAcentral lists this long non-coding RNA (36716 nucleotides) under Capsicum annuum. RNAcentral describes it as "long non-coding RNA (CANN_LNC012330)". The record is from RNAcentral. Lineage: Eukaryota; Viridiplantae; Streptophyta; Magnoliopsida; Solanales; Solanaceae.
UUUGCCUCUAACAUAACUAAUAUUUUCUUUUCCUCAUCUCACAUGGCCUAUGAUAUCACUAUCAAGCCAGCUAGCAUCGCACUAGCUUAAGGCGGUACAAAUUAUGCUAGAGGAGGGGCACAAGAUAUACCCGUGCCAUUGGAUGUAUAUUUUUCUCUUUCUGCACACCUUUCACAUCAUUCCCUACAGCCUCAGUCUAUAUACUCUGUCAGAUUAUCUCAGCUAUUAUAUUAGAUCGUUAUCCCAUUUCCCUGGCCAUAUGUUUUGCUACAUCUCUAAUUUUUGUGCCCCCAUAACUUAACAGAUCUAAGUCAGUAAAGAAGGAUAAUCCAGUAAUAACUUCUCUCCUCUUAUAACUUUAUCACAUAUUUCUCAAGCUAAAAACUCUCCCAUAUCAAACUCGUACCCAGUCAUAAACCCAGCUAUCAAUGUUGCACUAACUGGGUUGAGUACGUUAUCCUUAGUAAGGGGAAAAAUUCUGUGUCUGGCCAGUUUUCACCAUGCCUUGGACUCAAAGUUUAAUAUGGGCUUUUAUAUCAUCUGUAAAGUCACCUCUGGGCCACCUACUACCCAACUGGCUUCUUCCCUGUUCAAAGCAAUCAACCCUAUAAUCCACCAAAAAUAACUUAUCUUGUCUUCCUAUCCCAGCUUCUUUCUUAUAAUUUUUUGCAUUUUAUCCAUACAGUAAUCCAUUUUGGCUAUAUUUAUCGGUGGCUGGAUAUUUGGUACAUUAAAGAAUUGAGAAAUAGUAAGAGUGGAGAUAUUCACCCGCACUUCUCAAAUGGACAAUGAGGUAAUAAUCUCUCCACAUUCUAUCAGUUUCCUUGUGGAUACAUCUUCAUCAACCUACCCUUGUAUGCCAUAUAAAACUCUAGCAAUAAUGUUGUACUGUAUUUCCCAAAUAGUGUUAUCAUCCACUAAAACCCGUAUUAGCUGAAUCGAGCAUCUAAUCUUGGCAUCUUUGGCAUUUCGUUGGUGGUCUAUCUCCUCUCAACAUAAAUACUUAAUUUUAUUCUUCAAUUAGGAAGUCUGCUCAGCCUAUUAUUAUAUCUCUCCUGUAUACUGGGGUACCUCUACCAUUUAAUGGUGGGCACCAGAAUAAGUGUAAUGGCUAGAGUUACGUCCUGUCUAUCAAACAGAGUUACAUAAACCUUUUCGUUAUUAGUAUCCACAAAACUUUUUCUCUCUAAGCUUGAUUAUACAUUGUCAUCCUCUCUGGUAUUCUUCAUUCUUGGUCCUCGUGGAGUUUUCUCCUCCGGGGUGGCUAUUUUCUAUCCCUGAGGGUGUUUUACUAUGGGUGUGCUUUCUUCUUCAUGGGGAAUUCAACUAAAUUACCAAUGUAUUGGAUGAUUUUGUGCUAUCAUUCACUAACUGAAUGGUUUUUGGGGAAGGCUUCUUCUUGGCUACUUGCUUGAAAGAUAAAGCACCUUUACGAGGCAUGGUACAUGUAUGCAUACAUUCAUUAGCAAAUACUAAGGAAAAAAAGCAAAAAUAAGAAAAGUCUAUAUUAUUGUGCAUGUUCUGUUUAGGUUACGACUGGGAGGGUAAGAGUUAUAUGAUCUAGGUAUAACUCAUAUGAUUGAUUCGCAUGAUAAGCAUUGUAGAUAAGGAUGUUCACUAGUCAACUUAUGUGUCCUCCUAGCUAGUCAUAAAGACAAGUUACAACUCGUUACCAACAAUCUUAAGAAGACCAUAAACAAAACUCUAAUGUGUGAUAUCUUCCUAGGUACUUCUAAAUUAUGUGUAUGAGUAGUAUGGGUUGGAUAUGACUGACAUACGAAAUUUGAAUCCAUACUAAAACCUACACUUAAUUAGACUUCUUAGCUUUCAGUGGGUAUAAGUCUCGUUACGACUUCUUUCAUGUACGUACGAGUUGUAAGGGAUCUCGUAUCGACUGUAACAUAAGUGUUUAACUUAUGAGUUUAUUCAAAUAAACAAUCCCCAAAUUACCCUUUCAAUGCUUAACAUUACCACCCUAUUUUAGUCCAACAACACACAUUUUUAGCACAAAAUAUUAAGUUCACCCAACUUCCAUUUUAAGCUUAAUUUCUAAGAACUAAGGUUCUAAAUUUCAACACACAUUGAUAUCCAAGUCAAAGAAAUUCUAAAAUCUUAAACUAUUUUCGACUUCAAUCUGUAAAUAUAGAGCAUUGGAGUUCAACAACUUACUUGAAUGGUUGAGAGAUUAGGGCUCUUGAAUUUUCCCUUUUCUUUCCCAAAUUCUUAUGAAAUUUCCGCAAUGUGAGAGAACCCAAUGAUUUGUGUGUUUUGAGUGAAUUCGUGCAUUUUGAAGCUAAAGGAUUGAUCACAAAUGGAGGUAUUUGAUUUUCAUAGUAUUGGGUACCUGAAUUGAGUGCCCCUUUUGUUUAAAAUCAGGUGAGCUGCGCCAAGUUGAUCCAAAACCGUCGACCUAGUAAGCUUUACUACGAGUCUCGUGUAUGACUCUUACCAUGUCUUACGGGUCUUUUCCUCCACUCGUAGAGACCAUGAAAUUUACUUGGGUUUUGAAGUCGAUACGACUUAGUGUUACAAAUAAUACCUUGAACAGACAACUCGUUCUGAGAAUCGUAAAGACUCCAGAAACUUUUACCUAGAUCUGUAUCAUCUCCCAGGUCCUUACGACUCCUACUUACGAGUCUUUACUUUAAGAUACGACUCGUGAAGAGUUUGUAUGACCAAAAUUCUUUGAAUUUAUGGAUCUUUUUUGCAAUCUUUAGACCUGUACACUGAAAAAAUUAAUACUUGAUAAAUAAAUAAGAAAAAAACAUGGGUUUCCUCCCCUGCAACGCUUGAUUUAACGUCACAGCACGACAGGGCUAAGAUGGAUACUCAAAUUUCAUUAACUAGCGUCAUGGUCUACCUCUCAUGACGCGCUUGAUUUAACAGCAUGGGAUAACAUAAUUUCCUUGGUUACUCAGACUCCACCAAGGUCCAUCUCAAAAAUUACACUUACUUCUUUAGUGUUACCCAUAUAAUUCAUUACACUUUGCCCAUUCACCUUGAAUGGGGCUUUACUAUCCAGCUUCAAUUCCAAUGCACCAUAUGGAACACUCUUAGCACAAUAAAUGGACUAUACAAUCUAGACUUCAACUUACCUGUAAAUAAGUAAAGACUUGAGUUGUAGAGUAAUUCAUGGUCGCCUUCCUCAAAUAUCAUUUUCUUAAUCUUGCGAUCAUGAUGCAGUUUCAUCAUUUCUUUGUGAAGUGCAGAACUUUCAUACGCACGAAGUCAAAAUUUAUCCAACUCAGUUAUCUUGUUCAUUGUUUACUUUUUUGCAUCUUCCUACUUAAAGUUUAUCUUUUUCAAAGACCAUAGUUCUUUAUGUUUAAGCUUAACAGGAAAGUGACAAGCCUUGCCAUACAUUAGUUGAAAAGGUGAAGCACCUAUGGUCUUUUUUUAAAGCUUUACGGUAUGCCUAUAAUACAUUGUAUAACCUUCUUGGACAAUCAAUCCUAUUAGCAUUUACUGUCUUUGCCAAAAUAGAAUUGAUUUCUCUAUUAGAUACCUAAACCUAUCCACUAGUAUGCGGACGAUAAGGUGUUGCCACCUUGUGUUUUACUCCAUACUCCUUAAGCAGAUAUUUGACUAGACAAUUACAAAAAUGUGAACCUUCAUCACUAAUCAUAGAACGUGGCAUGCCAAAUCGAGAAAAGAUAUGCUUUUUCAAGAAUGUAGUGACACUACAUGCUUCAUUGUUGGGGAGCGCAACCGCUUCCAUCCAUUUAGAGACAUAAUCUAUAGCCACUAGAAUAUACUUCAUAUGAAAUGAACACAUCAAAGAACCCAUGAAAUAUAUACUCCAUACAUCAAAUAAUUAUAAUUCUAGAAUAAGAGCCACAAAGAGUUCAUAGCAUCUAGAGAUGUUACCUUGGCAUUGACAUUGAUCGCAAGCUAAAGCAAAAUCAUGUGCAUCUUUGUAAAUUGUUAGUCAAUAGUACCCAUAUUUUAUUAUUUUGUGGGUUGUGCAGGUUCUUUCAUGAUGACCCCCAACUAGUGAAGAGAGACAAGCCUCAGUUAUUCUCAUCAUAUCCACCUUAGGUAUACAUCUACACAUAAUCCCAUCCGCAUAAAUUUUGAAUAAAAAAGGCUCAUCUUAAAAAUAUUUCCUUACCUCAUUCAUAAACUUCUUUUUUCGCCAAAAUAAAAUCUUUUGGGACUAGAUCACUUGCUUUAUAAUUUGCACAGUCAGCAGACCAUGGAAUUAGAUCUUAAUAGGCUAUAAAUAUCUGCUCAUCUAAAAAACUAUCAUCAAUCUCGAGCUCAUCUACAACAUUUAGCAUAACUUCUUUCUCAAGUCUAGACAAAUGAUCUACAACUUCAAUCUCAGUGCCAUUUCUAUUCUUGACCUCAAAAUCAAAUUCUUAUAGCAAUAGAACCCACCAAAUCAUCCUAGUAUUGUAUCUUUUUUCACCAUUAAGUACUGUAAUGUUGUAUUAUUUGUUUACACAAUCUCCUUUGUCCCAACCAAAUAAGAUCUAAACUUUUGAAAGGAAAAAACCACUGCCAAUAACUCUUGUUCAAUGAUGGUGUAGUUCUUUUAAGCAGGAUUUAGUGCGUUGCUAGCAUAGUAGAUGGGGGGAAAGAUAUUUUCUUUUUAUUAGCCUAGUAAACCAUCUAAGAAAAAUCCACUUGUAUCAUACAUAAUCUCAAAUAGAAAGGACCAAUCUGGCGAAUUGAUGAUAAGAGCAGGCAUUAACUACACUUUUAGACAUUCUAAUGAAUUCAAGCAUACUUCAGUAAAAUAAAAUUUCACCUCUUUCUGAAGAAUCCUACAAAGAAGGUUGGAAAUCUUGGAGAAAUCCUUGAUGAAUAGCCUAUAAAACCCAGCAUGUCCCAAGAAGAUAUGAACGCCCUUCACAAAAAUUGGUGGAGGUAAUUUCUUGAUCACUUUAAUAUUUUCUCUAUCUACCUCAAUACCCCUUUUUGAAAUUUUUUGUCCAUGAUAUAUGCCUUCUUUAACCACAAGAUGACACUUUUCCCAAUUAAGUACCAAGUUGCAUUCUUCACACCUUCUAAGAGCAUUUGCCAAGUGAACAAGACAAUCAUUAAAAGAAUAACCAACGAUAGAGAAAUCAUCCAUAAACACUUUAAUGGUGUCUUAUGCCAUGUUAGAGAAGAUUGACAUCAUACAUCUCUAAAAUAUAGCUUGAGCAUUACAUAACCCAAAUAGAAUAUGUAUGAAUGCAAAUGUCCCAUAAGGACAAGUGAAGGUUGUUUUCUCUUGGUCGUCAGGUGCAUUAGUGAUUUUGUUGUAGCCUGUGUACCCAUACAAAAAAUAGUACCAUCAUCUACUCAUAUGUUUAUCUAGAGUUUGGUCCUUGAAAGGCAUGAGAAAGUGAUCCUUCUGAAUCUAUGCAUUCAAUUAUUUUUAAUCCAUGCAUAAUCUUCAUCCUGUGACUGACCUUAUUGGCAGUAGAUCAUUCUUCUUAUUAGGCACAACACUAAUACUUUCUUUCUUAAGAACACAUUGUACUGAAUUGACCCACUUAUAAUCAACAAUGGGAUACACUACAUCUACAUCAAAAAACUUAAUUAUCUCUUUCUUCACUACCUCUUACAUCAAAUAAUUAAGUCGACACUGAUGUUCUAUACUUAGAAUACAAUCCAUUCCAAGAUGGAUCAUUUGAGUACAAAGACUAGGUGGGAUACCCAUAAUAUUUGCAAUGGACAAACUAAUGGCCCUUUUAAAUCUCUGUAGAAUUGAUAGUAAAGUUUAUAGUUCUAUCUAAAUCAAGCCAGUUACAAUGAUUACUGCAAAAGCAUUACUAGCCCCCCAAAAAUUCACAUCACAAAUGAGAAAAGAGGGACAUUAACUCUAAGAUGGGUGGCUCAUCAAUCAAUGGGUGAGAAGGUAGAAUAGUUCUAUUUUUUAGAUCAAAAUCAAUCCUCUUUGGUGCAUAAGUAUAAGAACCACUCCCAUAGAGUGCACAUACCUUAUCAUCAUAUUUAUCAAUACCAUUACUAUCGAAGUUCAUGAUCACGACUGUUAGAGCUUCAACACCUAACCGCUCAUCAAUAGGAACAACAUUAGAAGAAUUAUCCCAUAUAGUUACUGAAUCAAUAUUAUAGAAUGAAUUGAUAUUCUCAUCAUACACAUCAAUCAAGAAUAUGACUCUUAACUCAUUAGGGUGCUUUAUUGAUUUGCAUACAUUGAAAUCACUUGUUUAUUAUUGAGUCUCAGUAUAAAAUAUCCUAGCUCGAAAUCUAUCAACGUCCUUCCCAUAGCUAAGAACAGUCUUUCCAAGAUAAUUAGGACUUAAAAGUCCACUUCACAGUCUAAUAUUACAAAAUUAGUAGGACAGAUAAAAUAAUCCACCUUUGCCUAUACAUCAUAUAGAAUAUCAACUGGCUUUUUCACUUUUCUAUCUGUCAUCUCUAGUCUCAUGUUGGAUGGUGAGGGAGCUUCCAACCAUAAUUUCUUAUGCACUUCUAAUUUCAUCAGGUUUAUAAUAGGACACAAAUCAAAUAAUCCUCGAGUGAAGUUAAAAUAUCAAUGGUGCAACAAAUGGUGAAAGCACUAGGUUUCUCCUUAUUCUUUACCAAUGAUCUAGUGGCUAGAGUGUUGCAGUGAUGAAUACUAUCAAGUAGAUUAUAUCUGACUGACCUCUUCUUUGCAGUUGGAUCGUUCAUGAGUUUUACAUAUCCUAGUGUUUGUUCUAAUGCCUCUACAAGUGGGAUAUUGACAGAUAGCUCUUUUAACAUAUAUAAAUUUUUUUUAAUACUAACCCUCUUCUUAUUUCUUUUUUGGUAUUUAAGGAAAAGAAGGGAGACGUCUCGAGGUGAUCUUUAAAAUAGGCUUCUCAUAUGUGUCUUUUCUUUUAUCUUGAUUGCUACCACUCUCUACAUCAACUGAUUCAUCAUUAUUCUUUAGUUCAUUAACAGUGGGUACAUGUGGAUCUAUGGUAGUUUUACCACUUUAAGUGGUAAUGGCAUGGCAGUGACUAUUAGUCUUGGGAUUAACUGCUAUGUUACUAGGGAGAAUACCCAAAUGCCUUUGAUUAACUGUGGAUGACAUCUGACCAAAUUGCUGCUCCAACUAUUUGAUUGCGGUAACAUGUAACUCAAAUUUAUGAUUUAGUCCUUAUAGAUCUGCCUUUUUCUCUUUAAGACAACAUUCUUAACAUUGUUGUCCUUUGAUUGAUUUUGACAAAAGUGCUUCCAUUAUUGAUUCUGAAUCACGACCACCUGGUGGAACGUACCUAUCGCUCUUCUCUUUGUAAUCAUCUUUCUGUCACCAAUCACCAUCUCUCUAUAUAUAUAUUUCUAUCUUUGUAUCUAUCAUUAUAAUAGUUUGGAACUUAAUUCCCUUGCACUUGGGCUAAAAAAUCCACCAAUCAAAAAUCAAUAUAUUUUGCUUUCUCUUCAAAUUUAGUCUCAACAAUCCUAAAAGAAGAUCUCUAUUCCUCGACAUCAUUAACUUUGUUAGCACUAAAAUUUGCAAAUUAUUUUUUGAGUAACCCAAUUUUCGUCUGAAGCUGUUCAACCUCUUGCACUACGAAAUCAUGACGAACUCGACAAUCGUUAGCUGCUCUAAUAGCAUUUGUACCAAAACCACGCUUAGUAUCUCUAGUAUGCCAACCUGUAUUAGUUAUCAAGAUAUCAUCAAGCAUUUCCUACAUAGCAUCCCACUGAAAAUGCAUAAAUGUACCUCCCAAAAUUGUACCUACCAUUUCUCUAGAACUGACAUUCAGUGAUCCGUAGAAGAUUUCCAACAAGUUAGACCCUGUGAUUAGGUACCACGCUUAGCUUCUUCUUGAAUUUAUAAGAUGCCUCAUACAUGGAUUCUACAUAUAAGUAUCUAAAAUUAUAGAUACCAUCUUGCAACUAUAGCAUCCUUGCAGGAGGGAAACCCUUUUCAAAAACUAUCUUUGCAACUCAUACCAUGUAGUGAUUGAACCUCUUGGAAAUUCCCCUAACCAUAGUGAUUCUUCACCAGUCAGCAAAAAUGGGAACAACCUCAAUCUUAAAGGUUCUUGAUCCUGUCUUGGAAUUAUAUAUGACAUGCAUAUCCUAGUAAAGUUAGCCAAAUGCAUGUUUGCAUCAUAAAUUAGUGAUCUAAAAAAUACACCCUUUAAGUUCAAAUAUAGGAUCAUAGCACUAGUAAUGUCCAACGUAACAUUGGAUGGUAGAGCAGGAAGAAUGAUGGAUCCUAUAUUAGUAGAUUCAACAUAACCCUUAUCUUCUUCAUUAUCAUAUGGGUGUAAGUGAUGAUAUGUUUGAAUUAAUAGAGCCUUGCCUCUCUUAACUCUACCCAACACUGGGCCACUUGUCUUGGUCUGGCUAGUUCUCUUUACUUUCAGGCCUCUUCUGAUGCUCUACUCUCUCCCUAUACAACUGAUAAAAGUUAUUACAUUUGUAAAUUUGCACAAUUUUUUGGAUCACCUAGAGCAUGCAGCAGUGUCGUAUUUGGAUAAACAGAUAAAGGAAGAGGGUAUUGAACCCUACUAGGAACAUCAUUAUGAACUUUUCUUGACAUCCUUCUCGGUGUUUAAAGAAUUAUUUUAGGAUCUAUAUCAAAAGAAAGUUAGGGAUUGCCUCAUCUCAUAGUGUUAAUAUACACCAACAUAUGACAAAUCAAGAACAAAAAAUAAAAUCUACUAACUUUACCAAUUUUAUUAACUACUCAAAUUUUAUUCCUAGACAAAGAAACCAAAAUUUUAUGUCGCCCAAAACUAACCUGUAAAGAAGUAUUCUCAGGUCGAUGCCAAAUAUAUUAACCCCAAUAGGUUGGGGUCGAUUCCAUAUGAAAAAUGUUGUACUUGUGCUUAACUUGCUGAAAUCCACAAACAGUGCAGAAAAGUAAAUAGGGGAUUUAAAAUCAAUCAUAAACAGUAACCAAACUGGAAUACUUUGAGUUUGUAAACAAUAGAAUAAGAACACUAGGAUUGUGUUCCCCCUAGCAUCUCAACUUCAUAAAUUUCUCAUUUUCAGCCCACUUAUUCUAUUGUUCAGCAUGUAGAGUUAACAUGCUAUGUAUUAUCAACCAUCUUGUGAACUCAUUGAUAAAUCUCACUCUUUAGAUGGUGAGUCUCAGGGUGUCGUCUUAUUUAUCCUUGCCUAUUACAUCAGUUCAACUUUUAUCUUUUGAGACUUAACUUGUUUAGAUAAGAUUAUGGGAUAAUAAGAUAGACGCUAAUCUCAAAUUACUGUCUUAAUCCUCUUUUCCUAAUCUCAAACUCCCUUGUGAGGAUGUUAUCAAAUACGGGAAAUUCCUAAGCUUCUGUAGUAGCUCCGAGGUAAAUUCAUAAGAAAAAGAUUUAGAUACAAGAAGUUAUGUUAGAAUAGAUGAAUCUUCCACUUUCUUUACAUAGAUAAUUCCACAAGGUUCCUACAACCCUAGUCUAGGAAAUUAGUUGAUUAUGUUCACGCAAUAAUCAAUGAUAAUUAAUAAAGAUUUUAUGUAAUUAAUUGCAUAAGAAUUAGAAGAAUAAAAUAUGAAGUCUUCAAUUGAAUAAUAACCCUAAAAUAUCAAGACUAAUGUAAAGUAUUAUAAAAGUAUGUAAAAUAAUGUUAAGGAAUGUCUAAAAGUGUAACAUAAUAAAAGGCUGGAUCUGUGUCCUAAUUUUAUGAAUUGCUAGCUGUUAAGAAAAGGUUGGGCAAAGAAAUAGAGGUGUUAAGGAUUAUGUUGGCUGCCAAAGAUACUGAUAUAGUUCAUUGAAGUUGCAGAAUUAGAAGUUAUCUUAUGAGGGACCAGUUACAACUGCUGUGCUUGCAACUGAAAAUGCAAAACUCCAUAUACAAGUGGUAGAACUGACAGGUGAAAUUUAAGGAUUGAAUCCUAAAGUGCAAAUUCUCCCUAAAUAAUUGUUGGAUGCCCACAACGCUAAAAUUCAGGAACUGAGAUACUUAUUAAGUCUCUUUCCCCUAAACCUUCUUCUACCUAAGUCUUAUUAUCUUUGUUCUCAAAUCAAUCUCGUGUCAGUUUCAUAUUUUGCUCCCUAUGUUUCCUCUUGAAGAUAGUUUGUUUUAUGAAUUAUUUUAGUAUGAUUAUACUGGUAUUGACCAUUAUUUAAAAGAUGAAUGAAUUUCUCUUAUGUAUCCUAUCUAUCUCUGUUACUUUUAAAGCUACUCUCCAUGCUAGUAUAGCCCUAGUGUCUAUGAGUUAAUUAACUUGAACUUAUAUUUACUUAUUGUUUACAGCUAAUCCUUUUCAAUGAUGCCAAAAGGGGGAAUACUGAUUUCAUGAGAUAGGGAAUAGGUAUAAUGUGUGAUGUGUAGGGAUCAGGUACAAUGUAAUGAUGAUGACUAGGUACCACUUAAUAACAUGCAUAUCCCAGUAAAUUUAUUCAAUUUCAUGUUUGCUUCAUCAAUUACUGAUCUAAAAAAAUACACCCUUUAAGUUCAACAAUUGGAUCAUACCUCUAGUAAUGUCAAACUUAACAUUGGGUGCUAGAGAAGGAAAAAUGGUGGAUUCUAUCUUAGUAGGUUCAACAUAACGCAUAUCUUCUUCAUUAUCAUAUAGGUGUAAUUAUUGAGAUGUUGGAAUAAAUGGAGCACUGCCUCUCUAAACUUUGACUCGAUACCGGGCCACUUGUAUGGGUCUAGCUAGUUCUCCUUACUCUCGGGCCUCCUUCGCUACUCUUCUCUCUCCUUUUAUAAUAGCUAAAAGUUACUACAUUUGUAAAUAUUCAACAUUUUAUAGAUUACCAAGACCAUGUGGAAGUUUUGUAUUUGAAUUAACAGAUGGAGGAAGAGGAUGGUGAACCCCAAUAGGAAGAUCAUCAUGAACUUUUCUUGAGAUCCUUCUCGGUAUUUAAAGAAUUAUUUUAGGCUCUAGAUUAAAAAGGAGUAAGGGAUUUCCUCUUCUAGUAGUGUUUGACAUACACCGGCGUAUGCCAAAUCAAGAAUAAAAAAUAAAACCUGGAAACUUUACCAAUUAAAUUAAAUACUCAAACCUUCUUCCCAGACAAUGAUACCAAAAUUUGAUGUUGCCCAAAACUAACCUGUAAAGGAGUACGCUCUGGUUGAUGCCAAAUAUAGUAAUCCAACUAUGUUGGGUUUUAUACCACAGGAAAAAUGUUGAAUAGGUGCUUAACUUGCUUAAAUCCACGAGCAGUGUAGAAAAGUACAUGGGGGAUUUAAAAUCAAUAAGAAAUAGUAACCAAACUUAAAUUCUUUGAAUUUGUAUACAAUAGAAGAAGGCCACUAGGACUGUGUUCCCCUUGGUUUCUCAACUUCAUAAAUUUCUUGUUUUCAACCAACUUAUUCUAUUGUUUUGCAUGUAAAGUCAACAUAAUCUGUAUUAGCAACCAUCUUGUGAAUGCGUUAAUAAAUCUUAGUCUUUACAUGGUGAGUCUCAGGGUGUCACCUUAUUCUCCUUGUCUAUAAUAUCAGUUCAACUUUCAAAUUUUGAGACUCAAGUCCAUUGGAUAAGAUGAUGGGAUAAUAAGAUGGACAUGAAUCUCAGAAUACUAUCUUAAUCCUCUUUUCCUGAUCUGAAACUCUCUUGUGAGGAUUUUAUCGAAUAUGUGAAAUUCCUAAGCUUCUGCAAUAGCUCUAAGGCUAAUUCAUAGGAAGAAGAUUAAGAUACACGAAUUUAUGUUAUAAUAGAUGAAUCUUCCACUCCAUUAACACAGCUAAUCCACCAAGGUUCCCACAACCCUAGUCUGGGAAAUAAGCCAAUCAUCUUCACACAAUAAUAAAUAAUAAUCAAUAAGUAAUUUAUGUAAUUUAUUGCACAAGAAUAAGAAGAAUAAAAUAUGAAGACUUCAAUUAAAUAUUAACCCAAAAAUAUCAAGAAUAAUGUAAAGUAUUGUAAAAGAAUGUAAAAUAAUAUUAAGGAACAUCUAAGAGUGUAGCCUAACAAAAGAUAAACUUCAAGGUAUUUAUAAUAUGUCAAAAUAUUUAAAUUUUUUAAUUAAAUUAAAAUAGGAAAAGUAAUAUCGGCACAAGGUAUGACACACUCGUCCACUCAUAAAGUCUUCUUACGAGUCUACUAUGCCUCUCAUAUUUCUCCAGUGUCUGAUCUUCCAGGUCUUCAACUUUCUGUAAUCGUUAUGACUUAUGCUCAUGAGUCAUACCUUAACCAUAUGACUCGUGGCCUUCACUCGUUACCACCUUGGACUUCUUCAUUUAAUGCUCUGAACACUGGUUUACUUACAGUUUACCCAUACGACUCUUACUCAUGAUUUUGACUCAUCUUAUUUUGAGACUUCAACUAUAAAUUUGACUUUAGUUUCUAUUUUCUUGACUACUGCGUCUUUAGAGUUGUAUCCUCAUUUUACAAUCCGUAUGCUCCAGUUGUAUCCUAUCAUCACUUGGUUUUUCUAUUUUGUUUUAGUCACUGUUAUGCUUACAAGUUAACCUAUGAGCCAUAUGAGGUAUUGAAGACUUGUAAGGUGACUCGUAUCAUCUUUAUUUCUGUAUUCUUCAAGUCUUUUUCUUCAAAUUUCAUCCCAACACAAUUAAUGAACUAUUACACUUGCAACAAGAUAAAAGUACAUCAUAUCUACUAAAAUAACCUAAGUACAAGUAUAAAUUCUUUUUUGAAAUAUCAAAAGUGUCAUGUUUCUAUGGCGUAUCAAAAACUAAGGAAAACAUCAUCUGCAGUCCUAAACAACAAGCUGAAUCCUUCUUAGGUAUCAAAAUCCCUUAAUCGAGUCAGUGUUCAUUAAAUCCUCCUUAAUCUCAGAAGUUCAUGCUUAGCCUGUCAUGAUUGAGAAUCCAAACAAAGGAUUUGGAUUACCGAUAGAAUAAGAAACAUCUCAUCCUAUAAAUCCCUCUUAUCUAGGAAAUUAAAAACUACCUAAAAUCUUCCAAAUUACUGAGUCAUCCAAAAAACCCAUAUAUGCUGAACCCUAUAAAACACAACAAGUGCUUGACUCUCCUACACCCUCAUAUUCAGACCUUAUUUUUUCUAAGUUAUUUGGUAAAGAAAUUUAAAUGAAAAGGGUUGAUCUUUCCUCUAAUGAAAACUUGAUAGCUAAGAAUCUACUCCUGUUUGCAUAUCAUACCAAGAAAGAUUAGUAAAUAGAGAAGAACUAAAAGUGGGUAAUAAAGAUAAAGGGAAUAAAUGAAAAGAUAUGGUGUUACUACCACAUAAGAAAUAUGAUGCGGAUGAGGAUGAAAUAACUCUAGGAUAGUUGGUAAAGAAACUGAGAUGCAGAAUGGGUAAGGAGAAAAUUAUAAAAUUGGAGGUGAAAGUAACUAGAACCUAUUCUAUAAGAGGUUCUAACAAUAAAAUAAUGGAAAAUGGAAUGAAGGCCAAAAAACCUACAACCACGAAAAGAAGAAGACUGAGGAAGUCAAUGGAUGUAGAGGAGGAAGAAAAUGUUAAAGUUGUAGAGGUUGAGAAAGAAGAAGACAUAGAUUAAGUAGUUGCUACUACUACUAAACAAAGAAAACUGGAAGUUGAGGAUGAUAGGAGGACUAGGUCCUCUAAGUCAAAGAGAGUUAGCUCCACUGGAAUGAGGGAGAAAUAUAUAGCUUUCAAGAAAAGAAAAGAUUUUGAGGGACUCGAUCCUAUAAAGACAAAAACUAAUGAAAAAUAAUAAAGAAAGAAAUGGCAUGUAUAGACAAAAGGAGGAGUAAGAAACUUAGAAUACAUAUAAUUCUAUCUAGGAGAGUAUUGAAUCCAAAAAUAUAUGGAAAACUAGGGAAAGUAGAACUAGUAGAGUAUGUGAGGACUUAUGGUUGGUUACACUUUCUAGAAGAACCAACUCCCAUUGUCGUUGAAGGAGAAGUGAGAUAAUUGUACUAAUCUAUGGAAUUCUUAAAGGAUGGUUUGUGUUUGAGUGCAUAGGUCCAUGGAAUAGUGCUUAAGCUGGAUGAAGAAACACUAGGAAGAAUCCUGAAUGUAUCUAUUGUAGAGAUAAGAACUGUAGUAAAUCAACAUCCCACCACUAAGUUCAUGAUUGAAACACAAUAGUUAGGAUGAACCUCAAUAACUGUAGUGAAAAAGAACUUUCUAAAAAGUGACUAUCAUCUUGUAAUUAUGUUGAUCAAUAAGGUCUUGUUGCAAAGAUCUAAGAAAAGAACAAUUACUUCCAGUGUUGACUUGUUCUUGAAUGAAUCCUUGAGUAAAUUUAAAUUAAUAAGUCUUCCAGCUCUAAUGAUAGAGCAUAUGCAUAAAAUGAUUCAUGAAAAGGAAGGCAAAUAUGGAAUACCAUAUGGAUAUUUCAUAAACAAGGUGUUUGAACACUUUGAUGUAUAUGGAACUUAAGGAACCCUUAGAACAACCAAGCAGAUGAUCAUCCUUACAACCCUUGUGAAUAAUGAAUGGAUAGAGGGCAAGACUGGAUCUAUGUCCCAAGUGUCGGAGUUCCUAGCUAUUAAGGAAAGGUUGGGCAAACAAAUGGAGGAGUGAAGGAUAAUAUUGGCUACCAAAGAUGCUGAGAUAGUGCAUCAUAAGUUGCAGAAUCAGAAGUUGUCUUUUGAGGUACCAGGUAGAAAUGUUGAGCUUUUAGCUGAAAAUUCAAAACUUCAUUCACAAGUGAUAUAACUGUCUGGUGAAAUUCAAGGAUUGAAUCCUGAAGUGAAAAUUCUCACCAAAAAAUUGUUGGAUUCCUAUAAUGCUGAAAAUGCAAGAAUAGAGAUACUUAUUAAGUCUCUUUCCCCACAAACCUCCCUCUACCGAAGUCUUAUUAUCCCUGUUCUCAAAUCACUCUAGUGUUAGUUUUAUAUUUUGGUCCCUAUGUUGGAUUUUGAAGGUAGUUUGUUAUUUGCAUUAUUUUAGUAUGAUUAUAAUGGUACUGAUCUUUGUUUUAAAAAUAAAUGAAUUUAGCUUGUGUAUCCUAUCUAUCUCCUUUAGUUUUAAAGGUUCUCUUCAUGCUAGUAUUUCCUUGUGGCUAUGAGUUAUUAACUUGAACUUAUCUUUACUUAUGGUUUACUACUAAUCCUUUUAAAUGAUGCUAAAAGGGGGAAUAUUGAUUUUAGGAGGAAGGGAAUAGGUAUGAUGUGUGAUGUGCAGGGAUUAGGUACUAUGUAAUUAUGAUGACCGAGUACCAUGUAAUGACAUGCAUAUCCCAGUAAAGUUAGCCAGAUGCAUGUUUGAAUCGUCAAUUGUUGUUCUAAAAAAUACACACUUUAAGUUCAAUAAUGGGAUCAUAGCUCUAGUAAUGCCGAACUUAACAUUGUGUGGUAGAGCGGGAACAAUUAUGGCUCCUAUCUUAGUAGGUUUAACAUAACCCAUAUAUUCUUCAUCAUUAUAUGAGUGUAAGUGGUGAUAUAUUGGAAUCAAUGGAGCUCUGCCUCUCUGAACAUUGUCCUGACACUGGGCCACUAGUCUGGGUUUGACUAGUUCUCUUUGCUUUUGGUCCUCUUUUUCUGCUUAUCUCUCUCCCACUAUAGCAACUAGAAGUUGUUGCAUUUUUUAGAUUCCCUAGAGCAGAUGGAAGCACUGAAUUUGUAUUAACAGAUGGAGGUAGAGGAUAUUGAACCCCAGUAGGAACAUCAUCAUGAACUUUUCCUGACAUCCUUCCCGGUGUUUAAAGAAUUCUUUUAGGCUUUAGAUAAAAAGAGAGUAAGGGAUUUCCUCUUCUUAUAGUUUUUGACAUACACCGGCGUAUGCUAAUUCAAGAAUAAGAAAUAAAACCUGCAAACUUAAUCAAUUCAAUUAACUACACAAACCUUCUUCCCAGACAACAGUACAAAAAUUUGAUGUCGCCCAAAACUAACCUGUAAAGAAGUAUGCUCUAAUCGAUGCCAUAUAUAGCAAAACAAAUAGGUUGGGGUCGAUCCCACAGGAAGAAUAUUGGACAGAUUCUUAACUUGCUAAAUUCCACGAGCAGUGCAGAAAAAUAAAUGAGGGAUUUGAAAUCAAUAGUAAAUAGUAACCAAACUUGAAUGCUUUGAGUUUGUAAACAAUACAAGAAGACUACUAGGACUGUGUUCCCCCUAGCUUCUCAAAUCCGUAAAUUUCUAAUUUUAAACCCACUUAUUCUAUUGUUCUGCAUGUAAAGUCAACAUGAUAUGUAUUAUCAUCUGCCCUAUGAACGCAUUGAUAAAUUUUACUCUUUACAUGGUGAGUCUCAGGUGUCGCCUUAUUUAUCCUUGUCAAUGACUUCUAUUCAACUUUCAUAUUUUGAGACUCAAGUUGAUUAGAUGAGACGAUGGGAUAAUAAGAUGGAUGCGAAUCUUAAACUACAAUCUUAAUCCUCUUUACCUAAGAUCAAACUCCCUUAUGAGGAUGUUAUCGAAUACGGGUAAUUCCAAAGAUUCUAUAGUAGCUCCAAGGUCAUUUCAUAUGAAGAAGAUUAAGGUAUAUGUAGUUACAUUAUAAUAGAUGAAUCUUCCACCUCCUUGACCUAGCUAAUCCUUCAGGGUUCCGAAAGCCUUAGUCAGGGAUAUUAGCUAAUCAUGUUCACGCAAUAAUUAAUGAUAAUCAAUAAAGAAUUUAUGCAAUGAAUUCCAUAAAAAUAAGAAAAAUAAAAUCUGAAGUCUUCAAUUGAAUAAUAACCCAAAAAUCUCAAGAAUAAUGUAAAGUAUUGUAAAAGUAUGUAAUAUUAUGAUAAGGAACGUCUAAGAGUGUAAACUAAUAAAUGAUAAACCUUAGGGUAUUUAUAGAAUGUCAGAAUAUAUAGAAAUUUUAAUUAAAUAAGAAUAGGAAAAGUAACAUUGGCACAAGUUUUGACACACACGUAUAGAUAUAAAGUAUUCUUAUGAGUCGUACUGCGCCUCUCAUAUUUCUCUAGUGUCUGAUCUUCUAGGUCUUUAAAUUUCUAUAAUCAUUACGACUUAUGCUCACGUGUCAUACCUUAACUAUAUGACUCGUGAUCUUUACUCGUUACAACCUGGUACUUCUUCUUUUAAUGCUUUGAACACUAGUCUACUUAUAGUUUACCCAUACGAGUAUUACUGAGUCUUUUGACUCAUCUUAUUCUGAGAAAUCAACUAUGAAUUUGACUUUAGUUUCUAUUUUUUGGACGAAUACUACUUCAAACUUGUAUCCUCAUCUUACGAUCCAUAUGAUCCAGUCGUAUCUUAUUAUUACUUGGUUUUUCUGUUUGGUUUUAGUCACUGUUAUGCUUACGAGUCAAGCUACGAGUCAUAUGAUGUGUUGAAAACUUGUAAGGUGACUCGUAUUAUCUACAGCUUUUUUUCUUCAGGUCUUUUUCUUCGAAUUUCAUCCCAGCACUAUUAUUGACCUAUUUCAAAUGCAACAAGAUAAAAGAACAUCAUAUCUACUAAAAUAACCUCAUUACAAGCAUAAAUUCCUUUUUUAAACUUAAAAAAUGUUGUGUUUCCAUGGUGCAUCAGAAACCAAGGAAAACAUCAUCUGCUAUCCUAAACACCAAACCGAAUCCUCCUUAGAAUGUCAAGAACCCUCAAUCGAGUUAGUGUUCAUUGAAUCCCUCGUAAUCUCAGAGGCUCAUGCUCAGCCUGCCAUGAUUCAGAAUUCAAACAAAGUAUUUGGAUCAUCGAUAGAAUAAGAAACUUCUCAUCCUGUAAAUCCCACUUCUCUAGAAAAUUCAAAACUGCCUAAAAUCUUCCAAAUUCCCGAGUCAUCCAAAAAAUCCAAAAAUGUUGAACCCUAUAAAACACGACAAGAGCCUAACUCUCCUAUACCCUCAUAUUCAAACCUUAUUUUUUUCCUAGUUAUUUGGUAAAGAAAUUUCAGUAAAAAGUGUUGAUCUUUCCCUUAAUGAAAGUUGGAGAACUGAGAAUCUUCUCCUAUUGAAUAUGAUACCAAAGAAAGAUUAGUAAAUAAGGAUAAAUGGAAUAAAGAAAAGUAUAUAUUGUUACCACCACAUGAGAAAGAUAUAGAGGAUAAGGAUGAAAUACCUCUAAGAUUGUUGGUAAAGAAACUGAAACAAAGUAUAGGUAAGGAGAAAAUGAUAAACUCAGAGGUGAAAGUGACUAGUACCUAUUCUAUAAGAGGUUCUGAAAAUAAAAUGAUGGAAAAUGGCAUUAAGGCCAACAAAUCUUCAUCCAUAAAAAGAAGAAGGCUGAGGAAAUCAAUGGCAGUAGAGGAGGAAGAAAAUGUUAAAGUUUUAAAGGUUGAGAAAGAAGAAGACAUAGAUUAAGUAGUUGCUACUACUACUAAACAAAUAAAAUUAGAAGUUUAGGAUGAUGAGAGGACCAGUUCCUCUAAGUCAAAGACUGGUAGCUCUAUUGGAAUAAGGGAGAAAUAUUGAGAUUUUAAGAAAAGAAUAGAUUCUCAGGGACUCGGUCCCAUAAAGAUAAAAAUGUAUGUAAAGGGUGAUCCAAGAAAGGGAAAGAAAAGGAAUAAAGAAAGGAAUGGCAUGUCCAGAUAAAGGAGGAAUGAGAAACUUAGAACACAGAUAAUUCUAUCUGGGAGAUCAUUUGAUCCAAAAAUAUAUGGAAAACCAUACAUGGUAGAACUGGUAGAGUAUAUGAGGCCUCAUGGUUCGUUACACUUUCUAGAAGAACCAACUCCUACUAUCAUUGAUGGAGAAGUGAGAGAAUUGUACUACUCUAUGGAAUUCUUAAACGAUGGUUAAUGUUUGACUGAAUAGUUCUUAAGGUGGAUGAAGAAACACUAGGAAGAAUCCUGAAUGUAUCUAUUGUAGAGAUAAGAACUGUAGUAAAUCAAAUUCAUACCACUAAGUUCAUGAUUGAGGCAUCAAAAGUAAGAGGAACCUUAAUAGCUAUAGUGAAAAAUAGUUUCUAAAAAGAGACUAUAAGUUGGUAUUUAUGUUCAAGGUCUUGUUGGAAAGAUCUGAGAAAAGAAAAUUACUUCCAGGGUUGACUUGUUCUUGAAUUAAUCGUUGAGUAAAUUUAAAAUGAUAAAUCUUCCAGCUUUAAUGAUAGAGCAUAUACAUAAAGCGAUUCGUGAAAAAAGAGGCAAACAUGGAGUACCUUAUGCAUAUCUCAUGAACAUGGUGUUUGAACACUAUGAUAUAUAUGGAACUUAACGAACCCCUGGAACAGCCAAGCAGAUGAUCAGCCUUACAACCCUUGUGAAGAAUGAAUGCAUAGAGGGAAACAUUGGAUCUAUGUCCCAAGUGUCUGAGUUACUAGUUGUUAAGGAAAGGUUGGCCAAAUAAAUUGAGGAGUGAAGGAUUAUGUUGGCUGCCAAAGAUGCUGAGAUAGUGCAUCUAAAGUUGCAAAAUCAGAAGUUGUCUUCUGAGGGACCAGGUACAACUACUGAGCUUCCUGCUUAAAAUGCGAAACUUAAUACACAAGUGGUAGAACUGACUGGUGAAAUUUAAGGAUUGACUCCUAAAGUCAAAAUUCCCACGAAACAAUUGUUGGAUUCCCACAAUGCUGAAAAUACAAGAAUAGAGAUGCUUAUUAGGUCUCUUUCCCCAUAAACCUUCCGAUAACGUUAGUCUUAUUAUACAUGUUCUCAAAUCAAUCUAGUGUCAGUUUCAUAUUUUGGCCCCUGUGUUGGCUCUUGAAGACGAUUUGUUCUAUGCAUUAUUUUUGUAUGAUUAUAAUGGUACUAACCUUUAUUUUGAAAAUGAAUGAAUUUAGCUUGUGUAUCCUGUCUAUCUCCUUUACUUUUAAAGCUUGUCUUCAUGCUAGUAUUUCCCUAGUGGCUAUGAGUUAUUAACUUGAACUUAUCUUUACUUAUGGUUUGUUGGUAAUCCUUUUCAAUGAUGCUAAAAGGGGGAAUUAUGAUUUUAUAUAGAAGGGAAUAGGUAUGAUAUGUGAUGUGCAGGGAUCAAGUACUAAGUAAUUAUGAUCACAAAGUACCAUGCGAUGACAUGUAUAUCCCACUAAAGUGAGCAAGAUACAUAUUUACAUCAUUAAUUGUUGAUGGAAAAUAUACUCCCUUUAAGUUCAACAAUUGGAUCAUAGCUCUAGUAAUGCAAAACUUAACAUUGGGUGAUAGAGCAGGAAGAAUGAUGGAUCCUAUUUCAGUAGGUUCAGCAUAACCCAUAUCUUUUUCAUCAUCAUAUGAGUUUAAGUGAUGAUAUAUAGGAAUCAAUGGAGCUCUGCCUCUCUGAACUUGGUCCCAACACUGGGCCACUUGUCUGGGUCAGACUAGUUCUCCUUGCUCUUGGGCCUCUUUCACUACUCUUCUCUCUCCCUUUGCAGCAGCUAAAAGUUGUUGCAUUUGUAAAUCUACAACAUUUUGUGGAUUUCCUAGAUCAUGCGGAAGUGCCAAAUUUGUAUCAACAUAUGAAGGAAAAGGAUAUUGAACACCAGUAGGAACAUGAUCAUGAACUUUUCUUGACAUCCUUCUCGGUGUUUAAAGAAUUCUUUUAGGCUCUAGAUAAAAAGGGAGUAAGGUAUUUCCUCCUCUCAUAGUUGUUGACAUACACCGUCGUAUGACAAAUCAAGAAUAAAAAAUAAAACCUGCAAACUUUACCAAUUCAAUUAACUACUCAAGUCGUCUUCCAAGACAACGAUACCAAAAUUUAACAUCGCCCAAAACUAACCUGUAAAGAGGUAUGGUCUGGUCGAUGCCAAAUAAAGUAACCCAAAUAGGUUUGGGUCGAUCCCACAGGAAAAAUGUUUAACAGGUUCUCAACUCGUUGAAUUCCAUGAGUAGUGCAGAAAAGUAAAUGGGAGAUUUGAAAUUAAUCGUAAAUAGUUACCGAACUUGAAUGUAUUGAGUUUGUAAAUAAUAGAAGAAGAAAAAUAGGAGUGUGUUCCCCCUGGCUUCUCUAAUCUGUAAAUUUCUAAUUUUCAACCCACUUAUUCUAUUGUUCUGCAUGUAAAGUCAACAUGAUACGUAUUAUCAUAAGUCUGGUGAACACGUUGAUAAAUCUCACUCUUUACAUGGUGAGUCUCAAGGUGUCGCCUUAUUUCUCCUUGUUUAUGACUUCAGUUCAACAUUCACAUUUUGAGACUCAAGUUGAUUAGAUGAGAUGAUGGGAUAAUAAGAUGGACGCGAAUCUCAAACUAUAGUCUUAAUCCUCUUUUUCUAAUCUCAAAAUCCCAUGUGAGGACGUUAUCGAAUACAGGAAAUUCCUAAGAUUCAACAGUAGGUUCGAGGUCAAUUCCAAUGAAGAAGAUUAAGAUACAAGCAAUUACAUUAUAAAAUAUGAAUCUUCCACUUCCUUUACAUUGAUAAACCACCAGGGUUCCCACAACCCUAGUCGGGGAAAUUAGCCGAUCAUAUUCACACAAUAAUCAAUGAUAUUCAAUAAAGAAUUUAUGUAAUUAAUUGCACAAGAAUAAGAAGAAUAAAAUUUGAAGUCUUCAAUUGUAUAAUAACCCAAAAAUCUCAAGAAUAAUCUUAUGUAUUGUAAAAGUAUGUAAAAUAAUGUUAAGGAACGCCUAAGAGUGUAACAUAAUAAAACAUAAAUCCUAGGGUGUUUAUAGUAUCUCAAAAUACUGUAAAAUUUUAAUUAAAUUAGAAUACGAAAGGUAAUAUCGGUACAAGGUACGACUCUCUCAUCAACUCAUAAAGUUUUCUUACGAGUCUUACUAUUCCUCUCAUAUGUUCUCCAGUGUCUGAUAUUCUAGGUCUUCAUCUUUUUUGUAAUCAUUAUGACUCAUGCUCAUGAGUUGUACCUUAACGAUAUGAAUCGUGUCCCUCACUUGUUACAACUUGGGACUUCUUUAUUUAAUGCUUUAAACACUGGUCUACUUACAGUUUACCCAUACGAGUCUUACUCAGGCUUUUGACUCAUCUUAUUCUUAGACUUCAACUAUGAAUUUUACUUUAGUUUAUGUUCUCAUGGUGACUGCUUCUUUAGACACGUAUCCUCAUCUUACGAUCUGUAUGUACAGUCAUAUCUUAUCAUCACUUGGAUUUUUUUUCACUGUUAUGCUUACGAGUCAACCUACGAUCUGUAUGAUAUGUUAAUGACUUGUAGGGUUACUCAUAACAUCUGUAGUUUUGUCUUCUUCAGGUUUUUUUCUUUAAAUUUCAUCCUAAAUGUAUUAUUGACCUAUUUCACCUGCAAUAAGACAAAAGCAUAUCAUAUCUACUAAAAUAACCUAGGUACGAGCAUAAUUUAUUUUUCAAGCAUCCAAAGUGACGUGUUUCCACGGCACAUCAGAAAUCAAGGAAAACAUCAUAUGCAAUCCUAAACAACAAACCAAAUCCUUUUUUGAAUGUCUAGAUCUCUCAAUCAGUUCAGUGUUUAUUGAAUCCGGUUUAAUCUUAAAAGCUCAUGCUCAGCCUACCAAGAUUGGGAAUCCAAGCAAAAGUUUUGGAUCACUUAUUGAACAAGAAAUAUCUCAGCCAGAAAAUCCUUUUUCUCUAGGAAAUUCAGAACUGCCUGAAAUGCUGAACUGUCAAAAAAAUCAAAAAAUGCUGAACUCUAUAAAACACAACAAGCGUCUGGCUCUCCAACACCCUUAUAUUUAAACCCUAUUUUUGCCCAGUUAUUUGGUGAUGAAAUUCCAGUGAAAAGGGUUGAUCUUUCCUCCAAGGAAAACUUGACAGCUGAAAAUCUUCUCCUACUUGCAUAUGAAACCAAGGAAAGAUUAGUAAAUAGAGAAGAACUGGAAGUGGGUGAUAAUGAUAAAGGGAAUAAAGGAAAGGAUUUGUUGUUACCACCAGAUGUAAAAGAUGAAGAGGAUAAGGAUGAAAUACCUCUAACAUGGUUGGUAAAGAAACUGAGAGAAAGUAUAGGUAAGGAGAAAAUGAUAAACUUGGAGUUGAAAGUUACUAGAACCUAUUCUACAAGAGGUUUUUAAAAGAAAAUGAUGGAAGCUUGCAUGAAGCCCAAUGUAGCCAUCAUUUGUAGCCAAGUUUCCCUAUGCACUCAAAUGACCUAUGUUCCAGAUGUGCGAGCCCUAAUGGUUUCAUGUAUCUUAGGCAUUAUUUCUGUGAAUGUUGGACGUCAUGUAUUUUUAGACAUGAGGCAUAUUAAGAACAGAGGUGGAUCCCCACUUCUAUUUUCUUCUUUGAUCACAGAGCUAUGCAAGAGAGAUAGGAUUGAGGAUUAUUCUGGAGAUACUUGGUUACAUCCAAAGAACACUAUUUACCCGCUUAUGAUUUGUGGUGAAGGAGCACUUGCUAUGAGUAAGAAGAGGAACAUCGACGUAGGCAAGUCUACAACUAAGUACAUAGUCUCUUGCAGGACAUACACAACAGAGCCAUUUAAGUAGAUCUUGGUUGAGAUGAGGUCAAUCAAGGAGCUUGUGUCUGGAUUACCUAUAGGGAANNNNNNNNNNNNNNNNNNNNNNNNNNNNNNNNNNNNNNNGGAAAGAAGGUCUAUCUACCACUCACCAUUCUUAUAUUUCUUAGAUGACUGUCAGCAAUUUUUGGCAUAUCAGUAGGAGCAGAAGGCCACUAUAUCUAGGCUUGAGAGGGAAUACUCCUCCUUAGCGCAAUCACAUAUAGAUCUGAAGGAUUCUUAUAAAAAGAUGAGAAAGAUGGAGAAAAAAAAAGGCGAAUUCUUCACUAAGAUAGAGAAGGAGUGAAGGGCCUAUAGAAGGUACUAAAACACGAAGAGAGACUUCCUUCUCCCUGAGCUUAUAUAAAUAUGAGGUCCUAACUACAUGGUCAGACUCAAAUGAUACCGAGACCAAGAUAGAUGGCGGUCCUUGAUGCGGCUUUAAGGAGAACCCAUUACCCUUUCUAUACUUUCUUAAUUAUGCAGUAAGGUUACUACAAGCUUUGAGUUGGGGAUGUUCGCCUCCUUAGUAGCUAUAGUUAUUUGAUUGGUCUAUAUUAUUUUGAUAUUUUUUGGAUAGGAUGCUCGUAUUUUUAUUUUUGGUUGAAAUAUUUGGGCACCCUGAUGGUGCCUAAUUUCAUAGAUUAGUCAUUUAUUUUCAGUGUUAGAUUUGUCUUUAUUGUUAGAUUUCUACUUGUUUAUGAUGAUGUUGGAUGAGCCUUUUCCUAUGAUAGAGUAAGUGAUGACAUUCUUAAGGGAAAAUCAUCGUGUUUAGGUUUUGAGCCAUAGAUGAAGGGAAAGUCCAAGUACAUGUGGCAAUAUAGAUUUGGGAUCACCCUUAUGCCUAUGGUGAAGUACGAAAUGUGAGAUGACAGAUUGAGUUGGUGCUAACGAUAACCAUAUUGCAUAGUGAAAGGAAAAACACGUAUCCCCAUUCCGUCCAAAAUAAUUUGUGAAAAUGAAGGGCAUGGACGUAAAUAAUUGUGCAACAAUGCUUUACCCUGUCUCUGUGACUCCAAAUUCUUUAGUAGGUAGUGUGUUGUAAUUAGAUCCUUUUGUCUUUAAUAGAAAAUGAAAUUGAUCCUUCUUAAGUAGUUCUGUCACGACCCGAGCCGAGGCCCUGGUUGGGACGGACAUACCAAACCAUGAAGGCCCAGGCACCUCUUUAUAACUGGUAAUCAUGCACAACAUUUAUACAAUAUAAAGAAUUUUUGAAAAACAUAACAAAACAGAACCAUGGUCAAUCAGAUAAAUCACUUGAACAAUUUGACAAGAAGUUCUUAACAUUCAAAACAAAUGAUAACCGUAUGCGAAAUCUCUAUUAUUCAAGAUUCAACAUAUGUAUAAGAGCAAAAUUGGGACAAGGCCCCCAGUCAGACCAUGAAUCAAAUAAAUAACAAUGUUGUAUUAACCCAGCCUUCCAACAUAGGGGAGGCUCACCAACUAAAAAUCUCAGGCACACCAAUCUAUUACUUAGUUGGACCCCAGGAAUGAGCCUCAGAUGUUGAAAUAUAGGGGGUCAAUACAGUUGUGUUGGUACUCAGAGCAAUCCAAAAUAAUGUAUUUUGUACAACAUAAGUGAGAGCAAUUCAUAAAAUAGUUUACAUAUGAUAUAGGAAAAACACAUGGGCAUUCUUUGAUAAAUUUCAAAACACUUUCUUGAAAUCAUGACUCUACUCUUUGUUAUUCUUCUGAGAUAGAUGCUACACCCUACAAUUUGUAAUUCUAUGGGAUAUAUGGAAUCCGCCUUUGACUCGGAGGCUAAGCCUCCAAUGCAAGUUUGACACAAUGAUUGGAGUAUCAAUAAAGGGAGACACACAAGACCACACAACAUGGUGCUAUGAUCCCCAAUCAAAUCAACAUCUCAUGGUAUUGCACAAGACCAUAAAGCAUGGCUCCUAACCAUAGUCACAAAUUGGGAUGAGAUGAAUCAAGUACCAAAAAACCACACAGUAUGGUACCAUAACCCCAUGUCCUCAAAUCACGAUUUCUAGCGUUGAGUUUUACAACUCGAACUUUCUUCAGGUAACCAUCUAACUCUCUUUAAGCCUAUUUUUAACUCAUUUCCAAACAUGCAUCUUUCUAAUUCAAAAUCAGAAUGUUUGAGAAAAUCUGUAUUUUUAGUCUGUUUUGAAUCUGCCAGGGCAUUCAUCUGUUUGGCAUCGUUAUACCAAGACUUGCAAGUCAAAUUAGCAAUACAACUUCAUGUCACAAUCUUUUUAUUCAAAAUAUGUUAUUUGGACCACCCAAAUCAUUUAAACAGUGCAAGAGAAUUGUUAAUUCAAAAUACAUGAAAACUUAUGCAAAGAUUCUCAUCUUUCAAUUCUCAACCAUAUGGUGGCCAAUCACCUAUUAUUAAACCAUGAACUUCUUUAAAUCAUCAGUUUUCAUUAAUAUAUAAAAGAAAGUACCCUCUCUUUGCUUCAUAAACUAAAUCAAGUCUUAAACAAUAGUUAAGACAUUUGUAUCAUGCUUCUCAAUAUGCAAUUGAAUAAUUCAUAACAUAUGAAUACACGAGGCUUUAUAACAAGAGAGGGAUUAUAAUUGUUCAUGAUCUGAAUUCAACAUUCAUCUCAAAACACAUACAUACUUAUAUACGAAUACAAAUAAAAUUUAGGGAAAGGUUUCAAGACUAAAACAUUAUCAUAAAAAAAUUUUGUUAUUAUAAAUUCAAAAUCCAUUGUAAUUAUAUGAUUCCAUGACUUUAAACCUUACUCAAAAUGUUUCAAUAAGCCCAUGUAGUUUAGGAAAAUCCCACAUACCUUAGAUUACUAUGUUCGACGAAUAAAACCCGAAUCUUUAUUUAUUUUUGGAAAACUUUGACCUAAGAGCUUGAUUUUUGAUCUGUGGGGGCUUAUGAUUUUAUUGAAGAAGAAGAGAGAAUAAUGAUGUAAAAAAAGAUCUUUGGGGGGCUUAAAUCUUGUGUUUUGGACAGUUUUGGGUGAGGUAAAUGACCCUAUUUCCCUAAAAUAGUGGAAAUAGAAACUGGAAAAUAAGGGAGCAUGCUAUAGAGCGUGUGUCUCAUGCUCUGGAGCAUCGAAAUGGAGUGUGUGCCCCCUCAAUGAUGGAAUGGAAUAUGCGCCACAUGGUAAUCACGCUACCUUACCACCCCCCUCACGAAAAUGGCUAUAACUUUUGGCUCAGGUAUCGGAUUAAGGUGAAACUGGUAUCGUUGGAAAGCUGACUCAAUUAUCUAUAAUUUGGGAGGUCUUGAAUUGAAAAAUUCUACUUGUAUCGAAAGUUAUACACGUUCAAAAUAGACCCUUGUAGAAUUGAAUACAAAGAUUUAUUUGAAUCAAAGGUUCUUAGCUCAACUUCGCUCUAACAAACUCCUAUGAAGAUUUUUCACCUCAAAAGCACUUCAAACACGAGGAUAAAGAUCAUAACACUUAUUCUAACUUGGUCAUAAUUUUUAUUAGAGUUUACACACCUAGGAACAAAAGUUCAAUUUCUUGUUCAAAACUGCGGGGUGUUACAUUAUAUCCCCCUUAGGAUCAUUCGUCCCUGAAUGAUGGGUAGUGACUUUUUAAAGCUUUGAAAAUCUAGAAUAAAGAACAUAAUCUUGCAUUGAACAUCUUUCUACAAUAAAAUAUACUAAGGCAUCAAAUGAGCUUUAUGAUAACCCUUAGUGAACAUAUAAGCACGAAGAGUGAGGUAACGAGACUUUACAUAGAUAUUAUCUUGCACAUGAGUUCUAUUAAUCAUAAUCAUCAUCAAAACAUAAGGCAUGAGUUAAUUUGGUUAUAAUAGGUCUGAUUCACAUCAGUGCUAAUCAUGAAAUAAAGUUUUCAUGGGACUGAGGAUUAGAAGAGUUCUCUACAUUACAAGGUACAACGAAUAGACUUAAACUUAGAGACACUACUCGGCUAUGCCCCAAAAUUAAAUGGGAUACUUCACAAUUUUCAUCUUACAUUUCUACCAUCACACAUCUAACCACAAGAGUUUGAGUCGCACUGUAAAGUUCUUUUACGUUGAAGCCUAACUCAGAGUAACAAGGAGCUACUUUAAACUACGGGACCCAGUACUCUACAUUCAGUUAAGAAUAUUAUUUUGCCUUAUAACUACCAUCAAAUACACUCAAGUGGUACAUUUACGGAGUACUAGCCAGAUAGUACAUUGGUUUGUGUUUUCAUCAACCACAACAUUCAAGCCUAUCAUUACUACACCCAAUUCAUGGAUUUCCCCCACUAAGAACAACAAAUUCAAUCAUUCUCACAAGGAUUCUUUCCAUAUAUCUCCUUUCUAAUUAUUUCACCUAAUAAAAGUCCAUCUCCUUCUUCCUCUUUCUCCGAUGGACUUAGCUCAAGAAAUCGUAUACAAAAAUAUUUCACCUUCAAGAAAAUCAAAUCUCCUACCUAAAAUAUCACCACGCUCCAUAACCACCGUCAUAAUAUAAUACAGAGGGUUAUUGAGGGACCCGAGCAUAAGCAUCAUAAAUGGGAGAAACACCACUUAAUCAUAACUUAUAUUUAUUGAUCUACUCAAGAUGGGACAUGAGGUGAAGAUACGAUAGAAUAGACACGAAGUGCUUCAGAUAUCAAGUGUCUAGAUCAUAAGUAAAGAGUCGUUCUGCAUAAGUACAACACAAUGUGAAUUAUUAGGACUGACUACAUGAGAAACACGGGUGUACAUAUCUCAUGAUUUGUAUAACUUAAGGUCAAAAUUCAUAAGGUCAGUGAUUAAGACAAGGAUUGCUACUUAAGGCUAUUGCUCCUUAUUUUAUUUUUAUAAACCUUAUCAAUCUGGUUAAUCUCAUCAUAAAAAUGAAUUAGUAAUAUAUUAAAACAUAGGUCCUUAGAACCAGGCAUCAUUUGGGACAUGGAUUUAUGGAACAUGAACAACAUACACAGAGCUUGGAUACUUGGAAUAUUGAACCACUGAGGAAUUUUAUUGCUUUUGGUUUGGAGGUCGAGACUUGACAUGAGUUACAUAGAGAACUCAAACCAUCGACAUUGGUAUUACUUGAACACAUGACGUAAGAUAUUAGCAGAAUAAUCUUAAAAAUUGAAGUAGGAGAAGUAUGAUUGAGUAAGAAUAGGUUUAUCAUGACUCCUCCCCACAAUUUGCCACACUGAGAAAAUUUGGGAACUACCUUAAUUCACCAUCUCUUCCUUAGAUCAAAGUCACAAUCCUAUACUUGUAGACAUAACCUCACAUCAAAUCUAUAGCCAUAACCCUCAACACAAAAGUGAUAUCACCAUAUACAUAAACUGUAUAAUCUCCCUGAUAAACUAUACUUUGAAGGCCUUGCUUUCCGGAAAUGCUAUGCUUAACUUUUGCUAGCCUCUAAGCCAUCACCCUACAACUCAGACUUUCAUGAUCAUACAUAUCCCACCCCGUAUCACAUAAAAAUCUACUCUCUAGCACUUAAAAUUCUAACAUUUGACCAUUAAUCACAUAACUUACAUCAUGAUUAUAUUUUAAAUAUUACACCAAAGGCAAAUACUUCCUACCUGUAUUUCCUCAAUUCAGCUCUAAGGAACGUCAUACAACAACUCCUUAGUCUUUCCCAUACUACAAAAUCCAAGAACAUGAACUAGGUACAUACGAAUCUUAUGCCAUAAAAUCUUAUCAAACGUCAUACUACCGGGGGGUAAAACUUAUUCUUAUAUACUUACACACUUAUCCACUUAAUUACUCAACCACGAUUCAUAACUCUUAACACUAAUCUUUAUGACUACAUAUAUCUAUAUAUAUCACAGUUUUCCACUACUUAUUCAAUAUGUUACCAAUCUAGGCUAUUUCAAACACUACAUUAGGGAAACAACUUUAUUCCCAAAACAUGCAUUAUCAAUCAUGAGCUACUAUUUGCACCACUACACUUCACAUCUCAAAUUCAAGCCUAUUGUCUAACAACGCUAAUCAUAUAGAGUAUGCCAUACACUAUACUAAUCGGUCAAAUAGAAAUAUCAACCUAAGUCUCAUAUUUCACUUACCUAUGGCCCAUAAGUUCAUCCUCUCUAUGACAUUACUACUACACCUCAAAAUCUACUACAUACCUCCUCUCAUGAAGAACUAGUUUACAACUACUAGACAAAGAAAUAUCAAAGGGUAUAAGGAUACGCCCAAAUUACACCUCUUUUACAAUAGAGUAAGCGGUCGUUGUGAAAUAUAUAACCCAACUAGGUUGGGGUUGAAUCUCACAGGGAAUAUGGUGCUAAUUAAGUUGUAUGCAGAUUAGUUAUCUUAUAAUCAUUCGUUUCCAUAAAACAAAAAGAGUGAAUUUGAUUUAGUUCACAAAUUCAUGGUUUCAGUUUAACAAGAUGAAAUAUGUGUAGUAGUAUUCAAAUGCAGAAAAAUAGCAAGCUAGGGUUAUGUCCACCUUGUAGUUUUCAAUGCUUUCUUACUAUAGGUUUUACUAAUUCAUACAUGUAUCAUUCUUAUAGAGAAACAUAUUGUAUUUAAUAACAUAAUCCUAGUGUUUCUCAACCAUCAAGGACUAAUUCACUUUAAUUCUCUCAAAUCAAAAGUGUAUACAAAAACAAUACAGAAUCUCCAAGUAGUUAAUCCUAUUAAGGCAUUAACAUAUGAAAUAGGGGUUGGAAAUCCUAUUUUCUUGUGACUACACUCUUUUUCAAAAAACAACCUUUCUUUCGAACAAGUUGUAUUUUAAGGCACAUUCUCUAUGUUUGUAACCACGAGAAUUCAAGAUAAACGAAAAGAGUAUGAUGUAAACAAAUCAAUACAUAAUGAAUUCAAAACCCAAAGUACUAGAUUGUAUGCUACAAGACUUCCAUAACCCUAACUAAUAAACUUAUCUACUCAGGAGUAAAACGGAAAUCACAAUAGAAAUAUUUAUCAUACCAAAAACUAGAACACGAUCUUGGUGUGAAAAUAGUGAAAACAAAAGAGAAACAUUUUCUCUCUCCACCCUAAGCCGCUAUUCCCUUGUUCCAAAAACUAUAGAAUAUUGAAUAAUGAUAAAAAUUCCGCAUCAAGUCUUUUUAAUAAUCUUUUCUCUCAUAUUUGCCUUGUAAGUUCUUGAAUUAAUUAUAAAUAAUAAAUUAGUCUUGGACAUAGUUUCUAGGCGGCAUAUUUUGUCCAAAAAACUAAUUUUCCCUUGUGUCAUAUGCCAUCCGCAUUCCAUAGUCCCAUUAUCUCUCCGCCUACCUUAUUAAUACUUGAAACUAUGCUAAUCACAUCGGUUAGCUCAAUUACAUAGAAGUAGCGUAAAAACAUAAAAAAUGAGGCACUUUGUUCUCCAAACAUAGCUAAAAUAUGGGUAAGCUUUGGUGCUUAGGUGUAUAAAUAACCCAAGAUCAUAUAGUCACAUAAUAGGGAUAUUCGAUCUUAAUCUUAUAUUAUAACCCAUUAUGAUCCCAUUAACAUAUUCCACUUUCUCACAUCAUAGUUCCUUACCCAUGCAUACAUCACAACUACCUUCAAAAUUCCAUAUACAACAAUAAGUUUUUACAUAUAACUUAUUAGCUAAUCUAACCAUCUUCAUUCACAGCCUAUAAGGGGUUUCUAUAACCAUCAUAACUAUUCAUUCUGAGAUUCUUCCCUAUUUUGAAUAAAUAAUAAUCUUAGUCAGCCACUUCAUUUACAGACUACGAUACAGUUUAUAAUUAUUGCUACCACAUUAAUCUAUCACUAUAAAAUGGAAACCCAAUCAUCAAUCCAUGAUUGUUGAACUAAAACUAUUUAUUUACACAAAAGCUUUCCUCACCCUGACUUCUAACCUUGUGACUUCACAUCACUAACUUCUUGUCCAUCUCACCAUAAAUAGGUUAUGAUACUUUAAGAUAUACUACUACUCGGUUAGAAAUAUAGUUCCAACAUUCUACUACACAUCAUUACCCUUAAGUAUGACUCUACAAUAAGACUUUUGAAAGGACAUUGAAUAUACUUCAUACCCUAGGAUGAAAAGAACGAUUUCAUUAGGAUAAAGGUAUACACUCAAAUCAAUAUGCCUUGAAUCACUAAUGGACUCCUCUCAAGACCUUGUGCCAUCUCAUAACUUUAUGAAUAACUCAAUCAGACAGAACCACAUCACUGGGGGAGCUAGACUCUUAGACUUAUAUUGCCUCGACAAUGAGGCAUAGCCCAUAGAUUUAGAACAAGGAAGGAAUUUUGAUAACUUUCUUAUGGACAAUGCUAUAGCAUGAGCUAGAGUAGGAAAGAGUAAGAAAAAACUCCUAAAUUCCCAGUAGCCUUCUGAUUAUAAGUGUGGUGCACAACGCACCCAUAACAAGACUCUACUAGACAUGACUUCACAGAUACAUUAGGACUAUGAACCGUUCUCUAAUACCAAGUUUGUAAUGACCUGAGCUGAGGCCCUGGACGUGACGAAUAUCCUAAACCAUGAAGGCCCAAGCAUGCCUUUCUACCUGGCAAUCAAGCAUAAUAUUCAUACAAUAUAAAGAAUUUGUGGAAAACAUAACAAAAUGGAACCAUAGCCAAUCUAAAAAAUUACUUGAACCAUUUUACAGAAAUUUCUUAACAUUCAAAAUAGAUGAUACCCAUCUGUGAAAUUUCUAACAUUUAAGAUUCAACAUAUGUCUAAAAUCAAAACUGGGAUAAGGGCCCUAGCUAGACCAUGAAUUAAAUAAAUAAUAAUGUUUUUUAAAUUUGAUAUUUUGAAAUAGGGGAGGCUUACCAACUGUAAAUCUCAGAUAUGCUAAUCUAUUACUUAGCGGGACCCUGGGACUGAGCCUCAAAUACUGAAUUUUAAAGGGUCAAUAUAAUUGUACUGUUAUGUAGAGCAAUCUAAAAUAAUGUAUUUUAUACAAUAUAAGUGAGCUCAAUUCAUAAAAUAGUUUACAUACUAUAUAGAAAAAACACAUGGGUGUUCCUUGAUAAAUUUCAAAAAACUUUCUUGAAAACAUGACUCGACUAUUUGUUAUUCAUCUUACCUAGACGGUACACACUAAAAUCUAUAAUACAAUGGGUUAUAUGGAAUCUGCCCAUGACUCGGUAGCCAAGCAUCCAAUCCAAGUUUGCCGCUUGGAUUACAGUAUCGAUAAGGGGAGACACGCAAGACCAUACAACAUGGUACCAUGAUACCCAAUCAAAUAAAUAUGUCAUGGUAGUGCAUAAGUCUAAAAAGCAUAGCUCUUAACCAUAGUCCCAUUGAUACGACAUGAAUCAAGCUACACAAGACCACACAACAUGGUACCAUAACCCCAAGUGGGCAAAUCAUAGUUUCUAGCAUUGAGUCUUUCAACUCAUACUUUUUUUAGGUAACCAUAUAAAACUAUUUAAGCCAAUUUUUAACUCUUUCUUAAGCAUGCACCUUUAUGAAUUCAAAACCUAAAAAUCUCACAAAAAUUUUUAUUUUUAGUCUAUUCUAAAUUUGCUAUGGCGUUCGUCUAUUUGGUAUCGUUAUAGAAAGAAUUUCACCUCAGAUAAGACAUACAAUUUUGUGUCACAGUCUUUUCAUUCAAAAUAUGUCAGUUGCACCACCUAGAUCAUUUGAACAGUGCAAUAUAAUUUUAAUUCAAAAUACAUGACAACUUAUGCAAAGAUUCUAAUCUUUCAAUUCUCAACCAUAUGGUGGCCAAUCACUUCAUAUAAAACCAUGAACUUCAUUAAAUCAUCACUUUUCAUUAAUAUAAACAAGAAAGUACACAUUCUUCACUCCAUAACCAAAAUCAAGUUUAAAAUAAUAGUAAAGAUAUGUGUAUCAUGCUUCUCAAUAUACAAUUGAAUAAUUCAUAACAUAUGAAAACAAGAGGUUUUACAACAAGAGACAGAUUAUAAUUGUUUAUGCUAUCAAUUCAAUAUCAACUCAAAACACAUACAUACUUAUAUACGAAACAAAUCAAAUUUAGUGGAAGGCCUCAAGACCAAAAUAUUAUUAUAAAAAAGGGUUCACCAUGCAUAUUUCGUAUUGUAAAUUUUGGGUAACCAUAUAAAUCUCUUUAAGCCCAUUUUUAAAUCUUUCUUAAACAUGCACUUUUCUGAAUUCAAAACCUAAAAAUCUUACAAAAAUUUGUAUUUUUAGUAUAUUCUAAAUUUUCUAUGGCGUUCGUCUAUUUGGUAUCGUAAUAGCAAGAAUUUCAACGCAUAUAAGCCAUACAAUUUUGUGUCACAGUCUUUUCAUUCAAAAUAUGUCAGUUGCACCAGCUAGAUAAUUUAAACAGUGCAAUAUAAUUUUAAUUCAAAAUACAUGAAAACUUAUGCAAAGAUUCUAAUCUUUCAAUUCUCAACCAUAUGGUGGCCAAUCACUUCGUAUAAAACCAUGAACUUCUUUAAAUCAUUACUUUUCAUUAAUAUAAACAAGAAAGUACAGUUUCUUUACUCCAUAACCAAAAUCAAAUUUAGAACAAUAGUAAAGAUAUUUGUAUCAUGCUUCUCAAUAUGCAAUUGAAUGAUUCAUAACAUAUGAAAACAAGAGGUUUUAUAACAAGAGAGAGAUUAUAAUUGUUUAUGCUAUCAAUUCAACAUUCAACUCAAAACACAUACAUACUUAUAUAUGAAUACAAAUCAAAUUUAGUGGAAGGCCUCAAGACUAAAACAUUAUUAUAAAAAAGGGUUCACCGUGCAUAUAUGUUAUUGUAAAUUUUGGGUUACCAUAUAAAUCUCUUUAAGCCAAUUUUUAACUCUUUCUUAAACAUGAUCUUACAAAGUAUUUUUAGUCUAUUCUAAAUUUACUAUGGCGUUUGUCUAUUUGGUAUUGUAAUGGCAAGAAUUUCAAUUCAGAUAAACCAUACAACUUUGUGUCACGGUCUUUUCAUUCAAAAUAUGUAAGUUGCACCACCUAGAUCAUUUAAGCAGUGCAAUAUAAUUUUAAUUCAAAAUACAUGACAACUUUUGCAAAGAUUCUAAUCUUUCAAUUCUUAACCAUAUGGUGGCCAAUCACUUCGUAUAAAACCAUGAACUUCUUUAAAUCAUCACUUUUCAUUAAUAUAAACAAGAAAGUACACAUUCUUCACUCCAUAACCAAAAUCAAGUUUAAUACAAUCGUAAAGAUAUUUGUAUCAUGCUUCUCAAUAUGCAAUUAAAUAAUUCAUAACAUAUGAAAACAAGAGGUUUUAUAACAAGAGAGAGAUUAUAAUUGUGUAUGCUAUCAAUUCAAUAUUCAACUCAAAACGCAUACAUACUUAUAUAUGAAUACAAAUCAAAUUUAGUGGAAGGCCUCAAGACAAGAACAUUAUUAUAAAAAAGGGUUCACCAUGCAUAUUUGUUAUUGUAAAUUUAAAACCCUUUGUAAAUAUAUGAUUCCAUGACUUUAAACCUUACUCAAAACGUUUUCAAUAAACUCAUGUAGUUUAGGAAAACCUCAUGUACCUUAGAUUACCUAGUUCGAAGAAUAAAACCUGAAUCUUGAUUUGUUUCUUAGAAACCUUGACCUAAGAGCUUGAUUGGUGAUCUUUGGAGGAUUAGGCUUUUAUUGAAGAGGAAGAGAGAAUAAUGAUGUAACAAAAUAUCUUUGGGUGCUUAAAUCUAAUGUUUUGGAUUAUUUUAGGUGAGGUAAAUUACCCUAUUUCCCUCAAAUACGCGGAAAUAGAAAUUGGAAAAUAAGAAAGCAUGCUAUGGAGCAUGUGUCGCAUGCUUUAAAGGUUCUAAAUGGAGUGUGCACUACAUUCUCUAUCAUCAACUCCCUUAGGGGUAGACUGGAGUGUACGCCACAUUCUAAUCGCAUGACCUCACUGCCUUCCUCACAAAAAUGGGUACAACUUCUCGCUCGGGUAUUCUAUUAAGGAGAAAUUGAUAUCAUUAGAAAGCUGACUCAAUUAUCUACAAUUUGGUGGGUCUUUAGAUUCAAAAUUCUUCUUUUAUCCAAAUUUAUACAUAUUCAAAGUAGACCCUUGUAAAAUUGAAUUCAAAGAUUUAGCCAAAUCAAAGAUUCUUAGCUCAACUUCACUCUAAGUGACUCCUAUAAAGAUUUUUCACCUAGAAAGUACUUCAAAAACAAGGAUAAAUAUUAUAACACUUAUUAUCACAUGGAAAUAAUUUCUAUUAGAGCUUACACAUGUAGGAACAACAAUUCAAUUUCUAGUUUGGAAAUGUGGGGUGUUACAAGUUUCCAUGCCAUGUUUGGUGAGCUUAAUCAUUUAAUUCCCAUACUUACCUGUGUCUAGACCUUGCCCCAUUAGUCUCUCAAAUAUAAUCUUAAUUACACAUGGUUGGUGAAAUUAUCUUAGGCCUUCUUUGUUAACAUGCAAAUCCAUUUUAGCCUAAAAAGUCUACUCGUACAUAGAUAGUGUCUUUAGUCACCCACUUUGAGCAUUUAAAACUUUCUUUGGCAACCACAUUACAGUACAUGAACCAUUUGAAUUUUAUUCAUUUUUUGAAACCUACUUUCCUUGAACUUAAAAGUCUAACUUGAGGCUAAAAGCCUAAGUUAGGGUAGUGAAUCUUGAAAGAAGUAACUUUGGGCCAUUAGAUUAUAAGUGAGUGCCUAAGAUCUUAACAAUGCAAAAAUUUAAUAAGAAAGAGAAAGGUUUCAACAAAGGAAAAAAAUUUAUGAAUUGUACAAAGAAAAUAGAUGAGAAGAAAUUACUUUCAAAAGAUGGGCGAAUCAAGGUGGUAAAAGUAGGCACUUGUGUGAGUUAGAAAGAAAUGCAGUGGCCCAUAAACUAAAGUGUAAUUAAAUAGUGUUUUAUGUAAGGUUCAAAAAGGGUGUAGUCACUUUGAUCCCAAAUGUUAUCCUCAAUCUUUAUCGAGCCUUCAUUACAAGCUUGAACAAGUCCUUCAAGAUCUCCAACUAAGUUUUUUAAUUUAGUGGCAAUUAAAAAUAAGGGCAAUCAUAUGGCAUGAUACUUGUUUGCAUUGAUACAUUAAUUUUGAGAGUGAGAGAUUUCACUUUAAUCUCUUGUUGCAUGAUAGAUACUUUGGUGUGUGGGAUUUUCUUUUGUGAGAAGGAAUGUAGACUAAGUGAGGUAGGUAAAAUUGUCAUCUUUCAAAAAUCAGGCAAAGGAGGCUAAUGGUGUCACUAUUGAUCUAGAGUCACUUCUAGAGAGUUAGUGGUUAUUGCUUAGUUAUUCUUUACUGUCUUUUGCAUCCUUAAAAGUGUGUUUUACAUUUAAGAAAGUUGUGAGAAUAAUUAUUCCCACGCUUGAGAGCUAUUUGUUGGUGCUAAUCAAGUUUAAAAUCAUCAUGAUCAUUAGGUGGUAUGAAUAUGCUUAUAAUUGCAUAGUCUCAUUGAGUAUGAAAUAGUGUUGGUUGAGGAUAAGAAAAGGUUUAAUUUAUGGGUGUUGAUGAGGUGUAAGUUUAUCACUCAUUGGCAUUUAAAUCCGUGCAUACUACUAUGGUUAAAUUGUGUAAAUAUGGAAAAAUUAGUUGUUAGAAUGCACUAAUUCCCGUUGUUUGUAGGUUUACAGGUAAUUGGAAUAAAAAAAGUGAAGUAAGAUGGAAAAGGAACAAAAAAAGAUAGUUCAAAAGUUGGAAAACAUAGAGAAGGGAUUGACCCUUAGUUACUGCGAUCGCAGUUUGAGAGCCGCAAUCGUGACCAAUCAAAGCUCGAUAAACUCUUUUGAAUUGCAAGGGGAUCACCGCAAUUGUAGAAGUCAUGAUCGUGAUCAACUAAUGGUGAUUGUGAUGAUGUGGCUGAAGUUCAAAAGGCAGUUUCAUAAUUAUGCAUGGAUGAACUAAAUUCUAAAAAAGGGCAAAACACUCGCACAAUUGAGGCAUUUUUCAACCAUAAUUCAAAGUUGUUAAUGAGAGAAAAAUCCUACCAAUUUAGGAAAUACAAUUGUUUCUAAAAUUUCUAAGAGAAUUAUUAGUUAUAAUUUGAUAUUGAUGUUUCGAGAUUAUUCUUUAUUUGCUAUCAAUGGAUGCAUUGGGUCCUAACUUUUCUAUAUCUCUUUUCUUUAAUCUCGUGGGUAUAUAAAUAUUCAUCUUGGG